Molecule: transfer RNA, 68 nt
Filed under: Mastinocerus sp. MAS01
Lineage: Eukaryota; Metazoa; Arthropoda; Insecta; Coleoptera; Phengodidae
Description: tRNA-Cys
Source: RNAcentral
AAAUUGAUUGUGCUAGAUCAAUUAUUUUUAAUUGCAAAUUAAUAGUUUACCCUAUAUUUUUCAGUUUA